This 547-nucleotide long non-coding RNA is filed under the name Spirodela polyrhiza (greater duckweed). RNAcentral's name for it is "long non-coding RNA (SPOL_LNC002247)". Lineage: Eukaryota; Viridiplantae; Streptophyta; Magnoliopsida; Alismatales; Araceae. The record is from RNAcentral.
ACGGCGAAGACGGCCCUGGCUCUUUUCAAUCAAACGAGGGAGGGGGAGAUGAGUACAUACAUGCAGACCAUCAUCACAUGAAGCACUGUCGCUACUUCUUGACAGAAAUGGAGAGAGAGAGAGAGAGCAGAACCAGAGCAGGGGGGAGGAGAAAGUAUUGAGAUUGAUGAUGUAGCUGAUAGGUACGUACAUGGGGUGAUUAAAAAGACCUAAUCUGUCAGGCGAAGGACGUCGUCCGCGAGGCUGGCUGCGAUCUGGCGUCCUCGAACUGUUCUGCGUCGUCGAACUUGUCGUCGGAUUUCAAGCAGGCGGGGAUGUAGGCGGCGAAGAGGGCCUCCAGGUUGGGGGUCUGCUUGGCCUUGUGGCUGGCGGCGACCUCCAGUGGGACGCGGUCGAAGGCGUCGUAGAAGCGGGCAUGGCAGAUGUAGGCGAAGGCGAGGGACAGCACCGGCAGCGGCAGCAGGAAGGGGGCGUAGACGAAUUUCUUCACCCCGAAGUAGCCGAUCAUCGUCGCCUGGUAGAUGAUUAGCGCCGCGAUGAUCCUCGU